CAGCCGCCGCGGGAAUACGGAGGGGGCUAGCGUUGUUCGGAAUUACUGGGCGUAAAGCGCACGUAGGCGGCUUGGUAAGUUAGAGGUGAAAGCCUGGAGCUCAACUCCAGAAUUGCCUUUAAGACUGCCGAGCUAGUAGGUGAGAGAGGUAAGUGGAAUCCCGAGUGUAGAGGUGAAAUUCGUAGAUAUUCGGAGGAACACCGAUGGCGAAGGCAAUCCCCUGGACCUGUACUGACGCUCAUGCACGAAAGCGUGGGGAGCAAACAGGAUUAGAUACCCCAGUAGUCCCUGUCUCUUAUAC
This 301-nucleotide ribosomal RNA is filed under the name uncultured bacterium. RNAcentral's name for it is "partial 16S ribosomal RNA". It matches the Rfam family "Bacterial small subunit ribosomal RNA", at positions 509 to 807 of the family's 1533-position model. The record is from RNAcentral.